RNAcentral lists this long non-coding RNA (1078 nucleotides) under Triticum aestivum (bread wheat). RNAcentral describes it as "long non-coding RNA (TAES_LNC000486)". The record is from RNAcentral. Lineage: Eukaryota; Viridiplantae; Streptophyta; Magnoliopsida; Poales; Poaceae.
UCACAAAAGCUCAUAUAUUAACUACACGAAUUCCUUUACAUUUACAAAUAGCCAAAAUACUUUGCAUUCUCUAGCCGCUUCCCACCCACUGGUCCAGCCUAUUCUUGAAUGACAUCUUCUAGGCAUACUUAAGUUACAUCGGCUGCAUCUAAAAAACAGAGGAGACAAGGGUGAGUACGAUAAAUCAUACCCAGCAAGCAGAUACUUCACUAUUCAACAAAAGCAAUGGUAUAAUGGUGUAGAUCAACAAACGAACUGAAUCCAAAGGAUAAACAAGGUAACCAUCAUUGAAACAUAUUUUACUGGAGAUGUGUAAAAUGAAUAGCAUAAUCGGAGACGAACAAGGGAGUUAUUGGCAUCACAGGUGAGCGCAAGCUUCCCAACCCGAGAGUCACACGGAUGAAAUUUCACACUUUUACGCUCUUAAGAGAGGUACUCCGAUGUCGACAGCCUCGACCAGAACCACACAGGCUCUAGUAGAGCAGAGCUCUUGUACCCACUAAGACCCGAACACUUGGACCUACUGAUGUCGGUCGCUCCUACGGAUCCAUCACCGACACGCUCCCGAACAAGGUCCGUCCUUAGUGAAGAACCCAGACAGUCCCAUACCUGAACUGUGACCGGUACAUUACGUUUGCCAUCCUGACACCAAUAAAAUAGGAUAUGUGUUUGAAUCAACGAUAGGAUCACUGGAGUCGAAGACAAUACACUCAUGACUUUUCAUGAGUUCCUCCAAAAUACUCUGAUUCCAUCAACAAAUGGAUCAUCAAGAAAUGGAUUAUGAGGACACACAUCCCUCUCUCAAGGAUCAAUAAGGAUCAAGGUGCAACAAUAUUAUCAAAUAAUCAAGGAAGGCAACAAUAAAGCGAGAUCAGGAAGUUUAGCAAAGCAGCUACUUGCCUCGGUAGAACCUUUCUAUCAAUAUUAUCCCCACAAGCUUGCCCUUGAAUAAACGUGGUACAACGAUCUUGUAUAAUCUACGUAUUCUGCUUGGUUCUUGUCUGCGUCAAGGCAGCGUCUCUCCUCUUAUUUUCUUGCAUGGAUGCAUAUCAACAUCCCCACUGGCGCACCUCUUUUC